Molecule: long non-coding RNA, 431 nt
Organism: Hyaena hyaena (striped hyena)
Lineage: Eukaryota; Metazoa; Chordata; Mammalia; Carnivora; Hyaenidae
Exons: 3
Source: RefSeq, a predicted model, not a curated record
CUUUCCCACCAUGCUUGGCGGCAGGGAACCGAAACCCCGGAAAGCCGCUAAUGAAGGAGGGCGUGUUUAUAUGCGAAGCACACAGCAACAGUGUCAGAAACAGAGGAGGUGUUGGCUGUGUUCUGCUCCACAUGGUGUUGGCUAGAUCACUCAUGAGGCAACAUGCAAUGAGGAGCUAGGCUGGGGGGCCUCAGUGUUCUUCCACAUGUGUCAUCUCUGUCUCAUCUAGGAAUUCUACACUCCACCCCUCGGUGCAGCAGAGUUCCCUGGACUUCCAUGCAGCAGCUGGGUUCCAGAAGAAAGCCUUCCAAGAAGACCAGGCCCCAAAUGCAAACACUCACAAGCCUAAUUACUGCCACUAAAUAAUAAAAGAAGAAACUGCGUGGAUCAUCCUGGAUUUCAGAAAGUACACUAGUAAACAGUCUCCUCCC